This 253-nucleotide ribosomal RNA is filed under the name uncultured bacterium. Its description in RNAcentral is "partial 16S ribosomal RNA". It matches the Rfam family "Bacterial small subunit ribosomal RNA", at positions 524 to 776 of the family's 1533-position model. The record is from RNAcentral.
UACGGAGGGUGCAAGCGUUAUCCGGAUUCACUGGGUUUAAAGGGUGCGUAGGUGGAUCGAUAAGUCAGUGGUGAAAGCCCCGAGCUCAACUUGGGAAUUGCCAUUGAUACUGUUGAUCUUGAGUGCGGUUGAGGUAGACGGAAUAUGUCAUGUAGCGGUGAAAUGCUUAGAUAUGACAUAGAACACCAAUUGCGAAGGCAGUUUACCAAGCCGAUACUGACACUGAGGCACGAAAGCGUGGGGAUCAAACAGG